Molecule: ribosomal RNA, 494 nt
Filed under: uncultured bacterium
Lineage: Bacteria
Description: partial 16S ribosomal RNA
Rfam family: Bacterial small subunit ribosomal RNA
Source: RNAcentral
UGAACGCUGGCGGCGUGCCUAAUACAUGCAAGUCGAGCGAACAGACGAGGAGCUUGCUCCUCUGACGUUAGCGGCGGACGGGUGAGUAACACGUGGAUAACCUACCUAUAAGACUGGGAUAACUUCGGGAAACCGGAGCUAAUACCGGAUAAUAUAUUGAACCGCAUGGUUCAAUAGUGAAAGACGGUUUUGCUGUCACUUAUAGAUGGAUCCGCGCCGCAUUAGCUAGUUGGUAAGGUAACGGCUUACCAAGGCAACGAUGCGUAGCCGACCUGAGAGGGUGAUCGGCCACACGGGAACUGAGACACGGUCCAGACUCCUACGGGAGGCAGCAGUAGGGAAUCUUCCGCAAUGGGCGAAAGCCUGACGGAGCAACGCCGCGUGAGUGAUGAAGGUCUUCGGAUCGUAAAACUCUGUUAUUAGGGAAGAACAAAUGUGUAAGUAACUAUGCACGUCUUGACGGUACCUAAUCAGAAAGCCACGGCUAACUACGU